Molecule: ribosomal RNA, 502 nt
Filed under: Setophoma terrestris
Lineage: Eukaryota; Fungi; Ascomycota; Dothideomycetes; Pleosporales; Phaeosphaeriaceae
Description: eukaryotic LSU rRNA
Rfam family: 5.8S ribosomal RNA (bases 183-336)
Source: RNAcentral
UUUCCGUAGGUGAACCUGCGGAAGGAUCAUUAUCAAAAGUCAAGUCGGGGGCUGUAAAGCUCUCGUCUACACCCAUGUCUUUUGCGUACUCUUGUUUCCUCGGUGGCGCAAGCUGCCGAUUGGACAAACCAAAACCUUUUUUGUAAUUGCAAUCAGCGUCUGAAAAUAAUCUAAUUAUUUACAACUUUCAACAACGGAUCUCUUGGUUCUGGCAUCGAUGAAGAACGCAGCGAAAUGCGAUAAGUAGUGUGAAUUGCAGAAUUCAGUGAAUCAUCGAAUCUUUGAACGCACAUUGCGCCCCUUGGUAUUCCAUGGGGCAUGCCUGUUCGAGCGUCAUUUGUACCCUCAAGCUUUGCUUGGUGUUGGGCGUCUUGUCGUAUUACGACUCGCCUUGAAUUCAUUGGCAGCCGGCACUUUGGCCUAGGAGCGCAGCACAUUUUGCGAUCGUAGCCCGUUGUACUGGCGUCCAUCAAGAACAUUUACCACGUUUGACCUCGGAUCA